This 1659-nucleotide long non-coding RNA is filed under the name Triticum aestivum (bread wheat). RNAcentral describes it as "long non-coding RNA (TAES_LNC003441)". Lineage: Eukaryota; Viridiplantae; Streptophyta; Magnoliopsida; Poales; Poaceae. The record is from RNAcentral.
AACUUCAAAACCAAACACAUGGUCGUUUUCCAUUGAUCCCUUGCAGAAACGACUAUGAGAAACACCACAAAUGAAAAAUUAUGAGGUAGCAUUUGAACACACAUAUCACCUUUGGAGCCCAUCAAAUUAACUACACUGAAUGGGACCAUAGCAUGGUGAGAAAAAUAACGUGAGGUAAUUGGCUGCAUUUGCACUACGUAAUGUUCUCAUUCUAACCAGAUGCCCAUGCACAAUUGCAGAUGGAUCAGAGAGAGUUAGGAUCGUAUGGUCAUUCGAUAGCACUUCGUCGUCUCCCUGGUUGUCACGCAUACCUGCAAGCCCAACCAAGGUGCAAAAAUUUCUCAAAUAGAGGCAAUUGGUGACAUCUAAAACUUCAUAAAAUAAGUAAAUAUCACUCAUGAAUAUAAUUUGAACGCCGUGAUUUAUAUAACUACAAUUGCAAGCUGAUGUAUACGAAAAUGAAAUGCUUAUGGUUGGUAGUAGAUGAAAAAUAGUAGCCAGGCUUCAAAAAAAAAUAUGUGACAAAAGUUGUACCUUAUGAUUUCAUUAUAGAUGCGGGACUGUAUCCAUGGAUCGAGGACUUCACCUUGCAAGCCAUAAUAACUAAUUGUCCACAUUAUAAUUUUUGAAGAUAUUGAAAUGCACAUAAUACAUAUGGAAGAUACAUCUAGAAAACAUGUUCGGUAUUAACAAAUCGAUUUGGAUGCUACAUCCGGAAAACACAUCCAUACAUCUGAGACUUUGUACAUGACCCUGAGCCAUAUACCAAUCGCUAGAAAAAUGAGACAAUAACCUGCAUAUAUACAGUAAUACACAUCAAGGCCACACAGCACAUAUGCAUCUCCUUCUCGUCCACUUCAAAAACACAUACGCAUAUACGCAUUCAGAGGAACAACUCAGGCAUGUGCGUUGAUAUCUGGACAAACAAAUAACGGGAACAACCUCAUCCUUCCACUCGUACGUACCUUGGUGACAGACACACUAUUUUGAUUGGGAUCAGGUAGACUUGUCCAUGCUUAGUAUCGAUCUGGAGACGCAGGGUAGAAGCAAUUUGCCUGAAAACCGACAGGGAAAAGCACAAACCAUGUCAUCAGUGACACACACUGAGAACAAAGGGGAAACAAGAGCAGCAGAAGUGCUUGUAUGUAGAGGAAGAAGAUAAACAAGGCCACCACGUAGACACCCAUGACAGGACUAGAAAUGAUUAGUAGCAUAUCCAUCCCCAUGUCAAACAUGGGAUGAUGAGCAUCAGAGAAGUCUAACGAGCAUGUGCUUCAGUUGCAGUAUUACGCAGUGACGCACUAGCAAAUCAGCGACACAGAAAUUGCUGCUCAAAUCGAAGCGCAAAAGGGAAAAGCAGAGGCUAAAAUGAGCAGGACUGGUGGCGGAGCAGGAACGCGGUGGGCAGCCGGCAACGGCAGAGCAGAAUCCGCAGGAGGCGUCCAGUCCAACAGAACAAACUCUUGUGCGGCAUCCGCUCACGACAUGGCCCGCCCGCCCCAGCACUAGGCACUAGCAGCAGCUUCGCAUUCGCGGAUGCCCCGACGCCGAUAGGGAAGGCAAUAGGCGGCGGCAUUGCACGGAUCACAACGAGCAUGAGGAGUUGUGGGUGGGGGGGGGUGGAUGGAUACCUUGGCCGGCGCCGGAGCCGGAGCCGGC